Molecule: non-coding RNA, 475 nt
Organism: Nothobranchius furzeri (turquoise killifish)
Lineage: Eukaryota; Metazoa; Chordata; Actinopteri; Cyprinodontiformes; Nothobranchiidae
Source: RefSeq, a predicted model, not a curated record
GAGCAGUUUGGCAUUGAGUUUCAUUAGUAAACUUGACAGUAUUUACACUCUUAAUCUUCUUAGGAAUUACAUGAUGUCCACACAAGGCGUACCACUGUUCUCCAUGCCCUUCCUGUCUAUCUACGUGAGGAAACCUCUGGAUUUUUGAGGACAUGUGUGGAUGAUACCAAUGAGCCGGACCUCAGGGAUGCAGCAGUUGUCCUCCUGACAACCAUCACCGAUGAUGCCGAGAGUCCAGUUACGUACGACCCAGUGAGAAUCUCUGUUAUCCUAGAGGGUGGUGUGAUUGUCAACCUCUCCAGCCUUCCUGAUGCCUUCCUGGGCAUGCUCAGUUGAAGUUUCCAUCUCUGCGCGUUCAAGAUGUAAGAAAAAUAACACGAAAGAAAUGCAACAAUGAAAACUUCAAAAAGGCAUCAACAACCAAGCAAGUGGAUCCAUAAAAUGGACAGAUUUUUUUAAAGGCAUUUUCAAAAAG